This 712-nucleotide unclassified non-coding RNA is filed under the name Hevea brasiliensis (rubber tree). Lineage: Eukaryota; Viridiplantae; Streptophyta; Magnoliopsida; Malpighiales; Euphorbiaceae. The record is from RNAcentral.
CAAGCGUUGAUCUCCAAUCCUUCUUUCUUCCUCUUCAAAUCUUUCCCCCUAUAUUCCCAAUGUCGAUUAAUAUCUACCUAUCAAACUCACAUCCAGCAAUUAUCUUCUAUUGCAAGCCCAACUCAUGCCGUUACUUCAUGGCUAUAAUUUGGCAACUCAUUUUUCUGUAUCCUUAACUCCACCUGCAUCCACUAUUGACCACAACACACCAAAUCAUGCCUAUUAAAAAUGGUUCCGUCAAGACCAGCUGGUCCUCAGUUGUUUUGUUCUAUUUCUGAGCCACUCCUUCCUCAAUAAUUGGGUUUCCUACAGCAAAGGUUGCUUGGCAAAAUCUUACAGCUAUGUUUUCCACUGGUUCAUGAACACAGAUCAUGCAACUACUGACACAACUCAAAACACCUCAAAAAGGGAUCAAAUUCCAUUGAUAAUUACAUGAAGAAGGCCAAUUCUAGGCAAUUAGCGGCUCUUCAAUGUCCAAUUUCAAAAGAAUCUCUUGCUAGUGAUUUCAUGGAUGGCCUUGACUCAGUUUAUCGGCCUUUCGUCCUAGCCAUUGAGGAUUUCAAUUCUCCUAUUUCUCGGGAUGACCUUUAUGCUUCACUACUAAGCAAAGGAGAAAAUAUCCAUCGACUCACUUGUGCCACCAAUGGCACAACAUGCUGACAAAUCACCCACCAGCAAAGGCCAAAAAACCAAUAGAGGACGUGGCAAAAAU